Molecule: long non-coding RNA, 305 nt
Filed under: Gossypium barbadense (sea-island cotton)
Lineage: Eukaryota; Viridiplantae; Streptophyta; Magnoliopsida; Malvales; Malvaceae
Description: long non-coding RNA (GBAR_LNC006922)
Source: RNAcentral
UUCACUCGAAUUUACAAAACUACCCCUACGUUGACCACCCUCUCUUCUCUCAUUUCUUUCCCCUCCUCGACGUGGCUUUCUUCGCCGGUGACUUGACACUUUUCGGCUUUACACUCUUCGCCGGAGCUUUUUUAGCCGCAGGAGCCUUCUUCGCAGCAGGCUUGGGAGCAGCAGCCCUCUUUCCGGGGGACGUCCUAGUUGAAGUCCUCGAAGCCUUAACCGGCUUGUCCUUAGGCUUGGCUGCAGCUUUUGGCUUUGUAGCUGCAGUAGUCUUCGGCUUCACAGAAGCCACUGCCUUAGUCUUG